Molecule: ribosomal RNA, 573 nt
Filed under: uncultured bacterium
Lineage: Bacteria
Description: partial 16S ribosomal RNA
Rfam family: Bacterial small subunit ribosomal RNA
Source: RNAcentral
UGGGGAAUUUUGGACAAUGGGCGAAAGCCUGAUCCAGCAAUGCCGCGUGUGUGAAGAAGGCCUUCGGGUUGUAAAGCACUUUUGUCCGGAAAGAAAUCCUUGGCUCUAAUACAGUCGGGGGAUGACGGUACCGGAAGAAUAAGCACCGGCUAACUACGUGCCAGCAGCCGCGGUAAUACGUAGGGUGCAAGCGUUAAUCGGAAUUACUGGGCGUAAAGCGUGCGCAGGCGGUUUGCUAAGACCGAUGUGAAAUCCCCGGGCUCAACCUGGGAACUGCAUUGGUGACUGGCAGGCUAGAGUAUGGCAGAGGGGGGUAGAAUUCCACGUGUAGCAGUGAAAUGCGUAGAGAUGUGGAGGAAUACCGAUGGCGAAGGCAGCCCCCUGGGCCAAUACUGACGCUCAUGCACGAAAGCGUGGGGAGCAAACAGGAUUAGAUACCCUGGUAGUCCACGCCCUAAAACGAUGUCAACUAGUUGUUGGGGAUUCAUUUCCUUAGUAACGUAGCUAACGCGUGAAGUUGACCGCCUGGGGAGUACGGUCGCAAGAUUAAAACUCAAAGGAAUUGACGGGGUC